RNAcentral lists this transfer RNA (65 nucleotides) under Grammomys surdaster. RNAcentral describes it as "tRNA-Lys". Lineage: Eukaryota; Metazoa; Chordata; Mammalia; Rodentia; Muridae. The record is from RNAcentral.
CAUCAUGAAGCUUAUAAGCGUUAACCUUUUAAGUUAAAGUCAGAGACAUUAAAUCUCCAUGAUGA